UCCAGCAGGUUUUUACUGUUCAAGUAAUUGG
RNAcentral lists this non-coding RNA (31 nucleotides) under Mus musculus (house mouse). The record is from RNAcentral. Lineage: Eukaryota; Metazoa; Chordata; Mammalia; Rodentia; Muridae.